Molecule: long non-coding RNA, 1043 nt
Organism: Herpailurus yagouaroundi (jaguarundi)
Lineage: Eukaryota; Metazoa; Chordata; Mammalia; Carnivora; Felidae
Exons: 2
Source: RefSeq, a predicted model, not a curated record
CACGCUCUGUCUCUCACUCUCUCAAAAAUAAAUAAAAAACAUUAAAAAAAAAUUCUCUCCGAAUAUUCAACAGAUAAUACCUUGCAAAUCCAGAGUGUUCACCCGUUCUAGAACAAAGCCCUAAACACAUCUGGGAAUUUCCAGUCAGACCAGAAGAACACCAGAGGGAGUGGGCUCUGGCUGGGAGUUUUAAAAAUGCUGAAGCAACUGCCAAGAAAUAAUCUCUCCUUAGACACUGAGUGGGCAGAAGUGGUGUAUGACUCCUCUCGAUGCCCUGCUUUAGCUCUUGUCCCUGCCUGACAUCAGGGGAGGGGCAUGGGCAAGAUGGCUGCCUCCCGUGGAUUUGGCAGGAGUCUGGGACUGGAGGCUGAACCUAACCUCUUCCCUCCAGAGCUGACCCGCUUUGCAUCCUGGAGGAGAGGUCACUUUUCCCGUCCUUCUCCUUUCCCUGGGCAAUUUAGAGGGGAGAAACUGUAAAGUUUUCUUGAAGUUGCUGAUCACAUGUAAGGAGGAGAGAUUGCAGCUCAAGGGAAGAUCCUUGGGAAUCAGGGUUCAGAGGGAGAAGAAGAGAACUAGGGAGAAGAUGGAAGCCUUCCAAGCCUGCAGGGUGAGGACAUGCACACCGGUUUUUGAGGAAGAGCUCAGCUUGGGCGAAUAACACUGGCACGGAGACAGAACUUUGGUUGAGGUCGGGCAAAAGGACUUGAUCGUGGGAGACAGAUUGAGAGCCUGCUAACCACCGCCCCACAUCAGAACAGAACCGGCCUCAAGGUGACUUUGCAAUGCUCCACCCAACUGCCCUGUGAAGGAAGCACCUUUAAUUCUCUCUGGUUCCAGAGCCUGGGGUGGUGUUGUAGCUGUGGAAAUGCGCGUCUUGUGCAGGCAGGACAUUUAAUGCUGGCAUUAAGAUGUUGAGUUCAGAUUGUUCUAUCUGCCAAUACGUGACCCGGAGCUAUCUUAAAUCCUUUUGGAAUGAGGUAGGGUACACACUCAAAAAAUGUACAUGUCUGUACAAGUGGAUACAUUUCUCCAAGCAGCCUUAA